Molecule: ribosomal RNA, 467 nt
Filed under: uncultured bacterium
Lineage: Bacteria
Description: partial 16S ribosomal RNA
Rfam family: Bacterial small subunit ribosomal RNA
Source: RNAcentral
ACGAACGCUGGCGGCGGGCUUCACCCAUGCAGGUCGAACGGAAAGGCCCUGCUUUUGUGGGGUGCUCGAGUGGCGAACGGGUGAGUAACACGUGAGUAACCUGCCCUUGACUUUGGGAUAACUUCAGGAAACUGGGGCUAAUACCGGAUAGGAGCUCCUGCUGCAUGGUGGGGGUUGGAAAGUUUCGGCGGUUGGGGAUGGACUCGCGGCUUAUCAGCUUGUUGGUGGGGUAGUGGCUUACCAAGGCUUUGACGGGUAGCCGGCCUGAGAGGGUGACCGGCCACAUUGGGACUGAGAUACGGCCCAGACUCCUACGGGAGGCAGCAGUGGGGAAUAUUGCACAAUGGGCGGAAGCCUGAUGCAGCAACGCCGCGUGCGGGAUGACGGCCUUCGGGUUGUAAACCGCUUUCGCCUGUGACGAAGCGUGAGUGACGGUAAUGGGUAAAGAAGCACCGGCUAACUACGUG